GAUGAAGAACGUAGCGAAAUGCGAUACGUAAUGUGAAUUGCAGAUUUCAGUGAAUCAUCGAAUCUCUGAACGCACAUUGCGCCCGCCAGUAUUCUGGCGGGCAUGCCUGUUCGAGCGUCAUUUCAACCAUCAAGCGCCUCGCUUGUGUUGGGGCCCUGCGGCUGCCGCAGGCCCCUAAAUCCAGUGGCGGGCUCGUCGUCGUACCGAGUGCAGUAAACAUCCUCGCUCAGGGAACCCGACGGGUGCCGGCCGUGAAACCCCCCCUCCUCAAGGUUGACCUCGGAUCAGGUAGGAAUACCCGCUGAACUUAAGCAUAUCAAUAAGCGGAGGA
RNAcentral lists this unclassified non-coding RNA (331 nucleotides) under soil metagenome. Its description in RNAcentral is "partial contains 5.8S ribosomal RNA, internal transcribed spacer 2, and large subunit ribosomal RNA". The stretch from base 1 to 120 matches the Rfam family "5.8S ribosomal RNA", at positions 35 to 154 of the family's 154-position model. The record is from RNAcentral.